Molecule: ribosomal RNA, 458 nt
Filed under: uncultured bacterium
Lineage: Bacteria
Description: bacterial SSU rRNA
Rfam family: Bacterial small subunit ribosomal RNA
Source: RNAcentral
GGCCGCGGGAAUUCGAUUCAGGCCUAACACAUGCAAGUCGAACGGGACUGUUUAGUGACGAUUUCGGUCUGAACUUUACAGUUUAGUGGCGGACGGGUGAGUAACGCGUGGAUAACCUGCCUUUCACAGGGGGAUAGCAGCUGGAAACGGCUGGUAAUACCGCAUACGCUCAUGUCACCGCAUGGUGAUGUGAGGAAAGAUUUAUCGGUGAAAGAUGGAUCCGCGUCUGAUUAGCCAGUUGGCGGGGUAACGGCCCACCAAAGCGACGAUCAGUAGCCGGCCUGAGAGGGCGGACGGCCACAUUGGGACUGAGACACGGCCCAGACUCCUACGGGAGGCAGCAGUGGGGGAUAUUGCACAAUGGGCGCAAGCCAGAUGCAGCGACGCCGCGUGAGUGAAGAAGUAUUUCUUAAAGUGAAGCUCUAUCAGCAGGGAAGAAUGACCCGCAAGGGGGAUGA